Molecule: long non-coding RNA, 1091 nt
Organism: Alligator sinensis (Chinese alligator)
Lineage: Eukaryota; Metazoa; Chordata; Crocodylia; Alligatoridae
Exons: 3
Source: RefSeq, a predicted model, not a curated record
GUAAAGGGAGGUGAAGACACUGCACAAUAGCAAUUUGCAAAGGUUUUCCAGGCGACCGCCAAAGGAAUUGAAGAUGGAGGGGAGGGAGAGAAGAGAAGAGACGUGAACGCUCCCUGAAAGCAUUCACAUCUGAUGGCACAAGUCUAUUGGGAACGUGUAUGGAACAGAACAGAAUAUGACCUAAUUUGAAAGAGGCUGCAGUUCAUCGGCAGGAGGGAUUUAAACACUGUUCAGACUGACAUUUUCCCUCAUCUCGCAUCCCGUGGGGUACCUGAUUGCAAAUUUAUAAUCCACCAGAGGUCUUGCCAUCAGAAGAUACAGACUUACAGUAACAGCAACUAAUUUUUAAAAGAUCUCCAGCGCAUCAGUGUCUAGGGCUGGUUUACACAGACUAAUUAAUCCUUAUUUGACCUGAAUUAACUCUUAAUCUGUGUGAAAUGAAAGAGCUUUACUGGGAUACGGCAAAUUUUAGAAGAUGGGAAAAUCCUUUCUGUGCACGAGGCUUCUGCCUCUGGGUGACACAGAUUAAAAGAGGUGCUGGGUUGCUGCUGGAAAUUAGCUCCUUCCUUUUUAUUUUUUUCCCUUUCUCCUUUCUCCAACCAGAACAUGCAGGAGAGGAGACAUUGUUCGUCUUUCUUCAGCACGAAGCAGAGGAAGGUUAUAUCAUUAAAAGACACUCUGGGGUUUGAAUUAAAUGUCAAAUAUGGUUUUUGUUGACAAUACAAAGCCCAGUGUUGGAACAAAAACUGACAGUUCCUACCCUGGGCCCCAGAUUAAUAUUAGGCCAAUAAUCAGAUUUCACACUGGCUGGAACAGGGAUGGAUUACUAUCUGGUAGAUUAGCACAGCCACCCCGUGACCCCUUUCUGCUCUGCUGGUUCAAGGGUAUUUGUACAAGAGAUAGAGAACGGCAGUACUACACCAUCAGUAGCUUAUGCUACAGGCUGCCUGAGGCAGGAGGUGUCUUUCUAUUCUGCAUUUGUACAGCACCAGACACAAAGAAGUUCUGGUCCAGAAGUAGGGCUCUAGUAACAAUCAAAGGGGACAAGAUAGUUUAUCCGCUCAAGAAGAGCAUGCAUCAAAUUGAUAAUA